Molecule: ribosomal RNA, 484 nt
Filed under: uncultured bacterium
Lineage: Bacteria
Description: partial 16S ribosomal RNA
Rfam family: Bacterial small subunit ribosomal RNA
Source: RNAcentral
AUUGAACGCUGGCGGCAGGCCUAACACAUGCAAGUCGAGCGGAUGAAGGGAGCUUGCUCCUGGAUUCAGCGGCGGACGGGUGGGUAAUGCCUAGGAAUCUACCUUGUAGUGGGGGAUAACGUCCGGAAACGGGCGCUAAUACCGCAUACGUCCUGAGGGAGAACGUGGGGGAUCUUCGGACCUCACGCUAUCAGCUGAGCCUAGGUGGUAUUAGCUAGUUGGUGGGGUAAAGGCCUACCAAGGCGACGAUCCAUAACUGGUCUGAGAGGCUGAUCAGACACACUGGAACUGAGACACGGUCCAGACUCCUACGGGAGGCAGCAGUGGGGAAUAUUGGACAAUGGGCGAAAGCCUGACCCAGCCAUGCCGCGUGUGUGAAGAAGGUCUUCGGAUUGUAAAGCACUUUAAGUUGGGAGGAAGGGCAGUAAGUGAAUACCUUGCUGUUUUGACGUUACCAACAGAAUAAGCACCGGCUAACUUCGUG